AUGAUUGUACCAAGUCCGUGCCGAACUGGUCCACCUAGACGUGGUUGUUUCCAACAAUCACCCCCAACCACGAUGUCCUUACUUCACAGCUUGAACGCCGAUCCUUCCCCGUAUCUCCGUGAACUUCUGUCGUCCCAAAGACUUGGUCAGGAUGUCUGCAAGCUGGUCGUCGGUGUAAAUGUAGUUGACUUUAAUCUUCCCUUCUUCCAUGCAAUUUCGUAUGUAAUGAUACCUUAUAUCAAUGUGCUUACUUCUAUCAUGAUGCACUGGAUUUUUACACAGAGCAAUCAUGGACUUGUUGUCAACAUAAAGCACCACUCCUUCCGGUUCCUUGUCAGUGAGGUCACCGAGUAG
This 354-nucleotide ribosomal RNA is filed under the name Triticum aestivum (bread wheat). Its description in RNAcentral is "partial small subunit ribosomal RNA". Lineage: Eukaryota; Viridiplantae; Streptophyta; Magnoliopsida; Poales; Poaceae. The record is from RNAcentral.